GCCUAACGGCUGAACCANCAACUUGCAGGAAUGAGAGUUAAUAUAAAAGAUUUAUUAACUUGCUUGANUAGGUCUUAUAAANUUCUGGAUAAAGCUGAUAAUGACAACUUUAUAUCCAUAGGUCUCGACUAAAUCUUGUGCCAGCAGUCGCGGUAAGACAAGGGAGACGAGUGUUAUUCAUCUUAAACAGGUAUAUUGGGUACCUAGACUGUGUAUGAAGGCUUUUAUAGUACCUACUACACUAGAGUUUAAUAUGUGAGAGGUAGAUGUCAGAAUUAUUGGAGUAGAGAUGAAAUCCUUUAAUACCAAUAGGACUGAUAAUGGCGAAGGCAAACCUCUAUGUAUAUGUACUUUCCAUAUUCUUUCCAUAUUAUAAACUUUAACGAAGAGAGUAUAUUAUUAUGUACAUCAUUAGAGAUUUAUAAUAUGUAAAAAGAGAAAAGUACUAAACUGACGUUGAGGGACGAAGGCUCAGAUAGUGAAGAGGAUUAGAUACCCCCGUAGCCUGGGCAGACAAUGAUGAGUGCCAUAGGUUGGCUUUUAGUUGAACUAUAAAUGAAAGUGGAAGCACUCCACCUCAAGAGUAAUGUGGCAACGCAGGAACUGAAAUCAUUAGACCGUUUCUGAAACCAGUAGUGAAGUAUGUUAUUUAAUUCGAUGAUCCGCGAAUAACCUUACCACAAUUUGAAUGAUCUAAAUCAAACACAAGAAGACACUUUAACUUGAAGAGGGAGUUUAUUCUUGUGGUAUUUUAGAUUACAUGCGUUGCAUGGCUGUCUUCAGUUAAUGUCGUGAGAUUUGGUUAGGUCCAUUAAAUUAACGUAAACCCUUGCUUUAUUUAAUAGAAUAAGGCAGCUCUCCGCUUACAACUGGAUUGAUAACAGGGACUAAGACAAGUCAUCAUGGCCUUAAUAU
This 915-nucleotide ribosomal RNA is filed under the name Preussia minima. Its description in RNAcentral is "mitochondrial SSU rRNA". It matches the Rfam family "Bacterial small subunit ribosomal RNA", at positions 374 to 1207 of the family's 1533-position model. Lineage: Eukaryota; Fungi; Ascomycota; Dothideomycetes; Pleosporales; Sporormiaceae. The record is from RNAcentral.